AUUGAACACUGGCGGCAUGCCUUACACAUGCAAGUCGAACGGCAGCGCGGACUUCGGUCUGGCGGCGAGUGGCGAACGGGUGAGUAAUACAUCGGAACGUACCCUGUUAUGGGGGAUAACUAGUCGAAAGAUUAGCUAAUACCGCAUACGACCUGAGGGUGGAAGUGGGGGACCGCAAGGCCUCACGCAGCAGGAGCGGCCGAUGUCUGAUUAGCUAGUUGGUGGGGUAAAGGCCCACCAAGGCGACGAUCAGUAGCUGGUCUGAGAGGACGAUCAGCAACACUGGGACUGAGACACGGCCCAGACUCCUACGGGAGGCAGCAGUGGGGAAUUUUGGACAAUGGGGGCAACCCUGAUCCAGCAAUGCCGCGUGUGUGAAGAAGGCCUUCGGGUUGUAAAGCACUUUUGUCCGGAGAGAAAUCGCGCUGGUUAAUACCUGGCGUGGAUGACGGUACCGGAAGAAUAAGCACCGGCUAACUACGUGCCAGCCGCCGCCGUAA
RNAcentral lists this ribosomal RNA (500 nucleotides) under uncultured bacterium. RNAcentral's name for it is "partial 16S ribosomal RNA". It matches the Rfam family "Bacterial small subunit ribosomal RNA", at positions 30 to 523 of the family's 1533-position model. The record is from RNAcentral.